This 484-nucleotide ribosomal RNA is filed under the name Shigella sonnei. RNAcentral describes it as "partial 23S ribosomal RNA". It matches the Rfam family "Bacterial large subunit ribosomal RNA", at positions 434 to 920 of the family's 2925-position model. Lineage: Bacteria; Pseudomonadati; Pseudomonadota; Gammaproteobacteria; Enterobacterales; Enterobacteriaceae. The record is from RNAcentral.
CUGUCUGAAUAUGGGGGGCCCAUCCUCCAAGGCUAAAUACUCCUGACUGACCGAUAGUGAACCAGUACCGUGAGGGAAAGGCGAAAAGAACCCCGGCGAGGGGAGUGAAAAAGAACCUGAAACCGUGUACGUACAAGCAGUGGGAGCACGCUUAGGCGUGUGACUGCGUACCUUUUGUAUAAUGGGUCAGCGACUUAUAUUCUGUAGCAAGGUUAACCGAAUAGGGGAGCCGAAGGGAAACCGAGUCUUAACUGGGCGUUAAGUUGCAGGGUAUAGACCCGAAACCCGGUGAUCUAGCCAUGGGCAGGUUGAAGGUUGGGUAACACUAACUGGAGGACCGAACCGACUAAUGUUGAAAAAUUAGCGGAUGACUUGUGGCUGGGGGUGAAAGGCCAAUCAAACCGGGAGAUAGCUGGUUCUCCCCGAAAGCUAUUUAGGUAGCGCCUCGUGAAUUCAUCUCCGGGGGUAGAGCACUGUUUCGGCA